AGAUGAUGAAAAAAUUUCCGCUUUUUCCCGACACAAUAAAUCUGAAAAAUAUCUACAUCAUCAUCAUUGUCGAGAGCUAGAGAAUAGUGUGCGUUAUGGUAUUGUCAUCUAAUACUUCCUACAUGGAAAAUCCGAAUACGAAUACAAAUCAAUUUCCACUUAUUUUUCCGUUCGAUUUGUUCGUUCUGGUUUGAUUUGUGUUGAAACCAUGUCAAGGGUUAUCUAUAUGUUGUUGUUACAAGUUUUAUUUACGAACACAUACAGUGUCGUUUAUGAUCAUCUAGGAUCGUCCAUAAUGGAUAAAAUUAUUAUUUUGGAAAAAAAAAGAAUUUCCAUCGAUAAAACUUUGGCUUAUAUAUUAUGUUUGAUGAUUAUUAUGGUGAUUCAACACACAUAAAGCUCAAAGACAAGAAAAAAGUCAAUGCCUGUCCUAGUGAUUCUCCAAGAAAAAAGGAUUGAUUCGAAUUCGAAAACAUUUGUGGUGGUAGUGGUGGUUAUUUUCGAUGACCUUGGCAGCUGAAGAAUUUAUCUAGUUAAUAUCAACUAUAAUCUCAUCAAGAAUAUUUGUGAAAUAUUUUUGGAUCAUUGUUGUCUAUGAUAUUGGAGAAUCGAAUGUUUAAAAAAAAAAUGUCGAUCACACACAUAUCAACAACGACUAUUUGGCCUUGGAUCGUUGGAAAUUAUUUUGGCUACAAAAAAAAAUCUCAUAACAUCCCGAAGGUUAAAACGACUACGUAGCAGACUACACAGACAAUACAGAUUUUCAACAUGUAUAUUUUUUUAUUUGAUUUUGCCAAACAAUUUCCUUUUUUUUACCAUCAUAAUCAUCAUCAUCAU
Non-coding RNA from Dermatophagoides farinae (American house dust mite), 837 nucleotides. Lineage: Eukaryota; Metazoa; Arthropoda; Arachnida; Sarcoptiformes; Pyroglyphidae. The record is from RefSeq and is a predicted model, not a curated record.